AUCUUUUCAUGGUUCACUGGUGUGAUGAUUGGGUGGUUCAUGCCAUAGUGUAAAAUGUAGCUCCAUCCAACCUUGUUAGGAUGUUGACACAUUACUCAUCUGACA
Molecule: small nucleolar RNA, 105 nt
Organism: Heterocephalus glaber (naked mole-rat)
Lineage: Eukaryota; Metazoa; Chordata; Mammalia; Rodentia; Bathyergidae
Source: Ensembl